UACGUAGGGUGCGAGCGUUGUCCGGAAUUAUUGGGCGUAAAGAGCUCGUAGGCGGUUUGUCGCGUCGGCCGUGAAAUCUCCACGCUUAACGUGGAGCGUGCGGUCGAUACGGGCAGACUUGAGUUCGGUAGGGGAGACUGGAAUUCCUGGUGUAGCGGUGAAAUGCGCAGAUAUUAGGAGGAACACCGGUGGCGAAGGCGGGUCUCUGGGCCGAUACUGACGCUGAGGAGCGAAAGCGUGGGGAGCGAACAGG
RNAcentral lists this ribosomal RNA (253 nucleotides) under uncultured bacterium. RNAcentral's name for it is "partial 16S ribosomal RNA". It matches the Rfam family "Bacterial small subunit ribosomal RNA", at positions 524 to 776 of the family's 1533-position model. The record is from RNAcentral.